CCGGAAGUUUACAUCUGCAACUUGCCGAUUCAUGACGGAUGGAUUACUUGUAGAUUUCAUCAAACUGUUGUGAAACAUCACUUUAUUGGACAAAAAUGUCACGGGCAGGCCUCGAACUACUAUUUGACACUGUGUCGGAGCAGCUGACGUGCCCAGGGGAUGCUGUCAUAUGUGCCUUACACUGGAAUAUCGUUUCACAUGGGUUUAAAUGCACUGGAGUUGGAGAGGAUGGGCACCUGUCUAAAAAGACAGAGCGUCUACCCCCAGGAUGGAACAACUCCAAAGAGCUGUACACACUCAAGUAUAACCACACCAAAUCCAAUGAUGACUUUGUACUUAAAGUGGUGAAAAUCGAUGAAAGUCUCCUUGUGCAUUUCAUGAGACGGAGGGAUGAGAAAGUGUCCAGUAUGAAUGUCCGUCUGGCAACAUACACUAAUCAGGAUCUCACGGACAUAGAUACGGCCUUCAAGAAUUUAGAGGAGCUUGAAAAACACAUUGAAAAGGAAAUACUCACAGUUUUCCUGUCUGGCGCCAAGACAUCGACCUCAAAAGCAUCUGUAGCGAGGACGCAGAGUAAUCAAGGGAGAUCACCCUUGUUGGAAGAUGAUCCGUUGCGUGUUCCCAGUCGUAGGCAGCCUGUCCCUCCCGAUUGGAUGCCAUCCAGUGACCCAUUCGCUGUUGGACGAUCUGACCUUGACCCUUUAGCAGGUGGGAUGGGGGGAAUGCUCAUGGACCCUCGGAGAUCGGGUGUUCCUGGGUUUGCACCUGACCCUAAUGCUGGCCUACCAAGUAGACUUCCUCCGGGUGCAGUUCCGCCAGGAGCGAGAUUCGACCCAUUUGGACCCCCUGGAGCCAGACCUGGGCCUGAUCCUGACCACAUGAAACCUCCAGGCUAUGAUGAUAUGUUCAUGUGAACUGGCUAGUACCGAGUUAUGUUCCUGGCUCUGCUAAACCAUGUUAUCUGGAAAUGUGACCAGCCUAGUACUGGAUCAUGUGACCUUGCUACUACUGGAUCAUGUGACUUGCCUAGUACUGAAUCAUGUGACCUGGCUAGUACUGGAUCAUGUGACCUUGCUACUACUGGAUCAUGUGACCAGCCUAGUACUGGAUCAUGUGACCAGCCUAGUACUGGAUCAUGUGACCUGGCUAGUACUGGAUCAUGUGACCUGGCUGUACAGGAUCAUGUGACCUACCUAGUACUGGAUCGUGUGACCAAAAGACUGUUACUAAGUGAUGUGACCUGGGAGUCAGACCACCAUGUCCUCAUGGUACUUGUUUUAACUUGUAUAUAUUGUAUGUUGUUGAGUACAUGUUCUUGGUUGGUUCUCUUUCUUGGGAAGUAAAGAGUUUUUUGUCAUCA
RNAcentral lists this unclassified non-coding RNA (1360 nucleotides) under Haliotis rubra (blacklip abalone). RNAcentral's name for it is "proteasome inhibitor PI31 subunit-like, transcript variant X1". Lineage: Eukaryota; Metazoa; Mollusca; Gastropoda; Lepetellida; Haliotidae. The record is from RNAcentral.